RNAcentral lists this unclassified non-coding RNA (404 nucleotides) under soil metagenome. RNAcentral's name for it is "partial contains 5.8S ribosomal RNA, internal transcribed spacer 2, and large subunit ribosomal RNA". The stretch from base 1 to 122 matches the Rfam family "5.8S ribosomal RNA", at positions 35 to 154 of the family's 154-position model. The record is from RNAcentral.
GAUGAAGAACGUAGCAAAAUGCGAUACUUGGUGUGAAUUGCAGAAUCCCGUGAACCAUCGAGUUUUUGAACGCAAGUUGCGCCCGAAGCCUUUUGGCCGAGGGCACGUCUGCCUGGGCGUCACGCAUCGCGUCGCCCCCCACAAUUCUCCGUAAAGGGAACGUGUGUUUUGGGGGCGGAUAUUGGUCUCCCGUGCUCAUGGCGUGGUUGGCCGAAAUAGGAGUCCUUUCGAUGGACGCACGAACUAGUGGUGGUCGUAAAAACCCUCGUCUUUUGUUUCGUGCUGUUGCUCGCAAGGUAAACUCUUUAAAAACCCCAAUGUGUCGUCCCUUGACGACGCUUCGACCGCGACCCCAGGUCAGGCGGGACUACCCGCUGAGUUUAAGCAUAUCAAUAAGCGGAGGA